RNAcentral lists this ribosomal RNA (400 nucleotides) under uncultured bacterium. Its description in RNAcentral is "bacterial SSU rRNA". It matches the Rfam family "Bacterial small subunit ribosomal RNA", at positions 355 to 747 of the family's 1533-position model. The record is from RNAcentral.
UGGGGAAUAUUGGACAAUGGGGGCAACCCUGAUCCAGCCAUGCCGCGUGUGUGAAGAAGGCCUUCGGGUUGUAAAGCACUUUAAGCAGGGAGGAAGGCCUGGUGGCUAAUAUCCACCGGGAUUGACGUUACCUGCAGAAUAAGCACCGGCAAACUUCGUGCCAGCAGCCGCGGUAAUACGAAGGGUGCAAGCGUUAAUCGGAAUUACUGGGCGUAAAGCGCGCGUAGGUGGUUUGGUAAGCGAUAUGUGAAAUCCCCGGGCUUAACCUGGGAACUGCAUGUCGAACUGCCAGGCUAGAGUAUAGUAGAGGAGUGUGGAAUUCCCGGUGUAGCGGUGAAAUGCGUAGAUAUCGGGAGGAACAUCAGUGGCGAAGGCGGCACUCUGGACUGAUACUGACACU